RNAcentral lists this ribosomal RNA (98 nucleotides) under Salvator merianae (Argentine black and white tegu). Lineage: Eukaryota; Metazoa; Chordata; Lepidosauria; Squamata; Teiidae. The record is from RNAcentral.
GUCCCUAGUUAAAUCUGGGCAGUCACAAAAGCUAAGCUGAGUUGGACCUGCUUAGUACUUGGAUGGGAGACUACCAAGAAAUCAUGAGGCUGUAGGCU